RNAcentral lists this ribosomal RNA (504 nucleotides) under uncultured bacterium. RNAcentral describes it as "bacterial SSU rRNA". It matches the Rfam family "Bacterial small subunit ribosomal RNA", at positions 18 to 518 of the family's 1533-position model. The record is from RNAcentral.
UAUGGCUCAGGAUGAACGCUAGCGGCAGGCUAACACAUGCAAGUCGAGGGGCAACGCGAGUAGCAAUACUUGGCGGCGACCGGCGCAAGGGUGCGUAACGCGUGAGCAACAUGCCCGUAUCAGGGGGAUAAUCCAGGGAAACUUGGUCUAAUACCCCAUAGUAAUUUUGUAAGGCAUCUUAUAAGGUUUAAAGCUUUGGUGGAUACGGAUUGGCUCGCGUGACAUUAGCUGGAUGGUAAGGUAACGGCUUACCAUGGCUAUGAUGUCUAGGGGUUCUGAGAGGAAGGUCCCCCACACUGGAACUGAGACACGGUCCAGACUCCUACGGGAGGCAGCAGUGAGGAAUAUUGGACAAUGGAUGGAAAUCUGAUCCAGCCAUGCCGCGUGAAGGAAGAAGGUCCUAUGGAUUGUAAACUUCUUUUGUAUGGGAGCAAUAAGGCCUACGAGUAGGUUGAUGAGAGUACCAUACGAAUAAGCACCGGCUAACUCCGUGCCAGCCGCUGC